Molecule: long non-coding RNA, 1992 nt
Organism: Sciurus carolinensis (gray squirrel)
Lineage: Eukaryota; Metazoa; Chordata; Mammalia; Rodentia; Sciuridae
Exons: 9
Source: RefSeq, a predicted model, not a curated record
CAAGAGGCUCACUCUCCUUUUGGGAGGAAGACGAAUGGGGACCAAGGGACUGCAUGGAAGGAGAGGAAAAAGAGAAAAUAUCCAGGCCCCAUGGUUGAUAGAAAAGACUACCAGAUGAACCACAGAUGGUCAAUGAAAUUGAAGGAAUGACUCAAACAUUUAUCCAAAGGCAUGAUCCAAGAGAUGCAAAGGGGCAGAAGUCUCCAUGAACAGGGCAAAAGACAAGCAAGCUAUGUGUGCCCAUGUGGUGAUCCAGAAGGAAAAGAAAUUGAUAGGAGAUAAUCAAUCUUAGCCUCUUCUUGGUUAUGAACAGUCCCUGGAUCCACCAGUUGAUAGCCAUACAAUGGAAAACUAGCUGAAAUGAAGUGACUAGGAGUCUUUACAAAGUAAAAUAAGUUGGGUGUAAAAUGGAGAAAAGGACAACCAAGUAGAGCCAUUGGGGAGACUCAGGGCCUUCACAAUGUCUGGUACAUGGAAUACGAGAGUACCCAAUUAACAUUUUUUUGAUCCAAGCACAAUAUUUCAUUGGAAAAUAAACAGAUCUUGCUCCUGGCUCUUGCUAGGAGCAGCCUGGAGACCACCUGACGGGAGCUGUCAUCCUUUGUCCUCACCAGCACACCUAUCUAUCUGUCAUCAUCUGGAUCACCAACGUGGAGCAUCUUUGUUCAGGACAGAGAGACAUCUAGCACAGCAACCAGGGUACCUUGAAGAAAAAAGGAAAUUGAAGAUGGUAUGAAAGAAGAUCCUUGUAUUGGAAAAGAAGUUUAAAAAAAGUGGAAGUCAUGAAGCUACAGAAGAACUCGAGAGCAGCUGGGCUUCCCCCAGAGCAUGUCUGGUACAGAUGACAGGCUACAGUCAGCAAAGUAGGGAUCCAACCCCUAUACCUGGAAGGACUUCAGUGAGGAGGUGGAGAAGUGAAGGAGCCCUACUUCCUUACAAAUAUUAAUGGCACUUGGUUUGGAAAUGGUCCAUCAUUCCCAGUCAACGCUCCCCAGGAGGCUGGCUUUCUCUGGUGCUGUCAGGGCUGGCUUCCUUCCGAUUGGGAUCAGCUCUAUUCUGGAAGGGACUGGCAGAGCAUUCAGCUGGCACACUGCUGCUUCCAGACCACACUCUAGUCACCCAAUCAAGUCAUAGCUGCCACAUUGGACGUGCCUCACGCUGAGAACCACCCAUGGAGAGAACAAUGCCCAGGUGGGGUACCUGUGAGGUCCCUGGCUGUGGCUCACAGUCUGUGCAGCUGAUACCCAACAUCAUCUUCAAGUGACACUUACCAGUGAAACGGUCACAUGCCACCACAGGGCCAGAAUCGCCCUCAGAGUUGACCCUGUCUUGCAUUCCUCCUGUGUCUGGUGUUGGCCAGGACAAAAGUGUUGGAAUACCAUGACACCCUCUUCUAGCGGGGUGCCUGCUAAACCAGAUAUCCACUCAGCUACGGUAGAAAACAGAGUUCUCAUUUCUCUUACACUUGAACUUGGCAGCAAUUGAAAACACUCUAAUUAUAUCUCUGUGCAAUUAGAUGUCCUGUGUGAUUGGUGGGACCUUAGGAAUGUGACUGUUGGCCUUAGGAGGGUAAAGUUGCUGGAAGAGCUCAACCCACCAUUUAGAAACCCUGGGUUCAGUGCUCCUAGACCCAGCACACAAAAACAAAAUAUUGAAAUUGGCAGGGACCUUGGUGAUUAAUAGCUCUCCUCUUAUCUAUAGAAAAUAUUUUAAGAAGGAAAAAUGACCUGAACCAAUGUUAAUGAUUGUACUAUAGUAAAGAAUUUGGGAGUCACCUGGGUCUUUUUUAGCUCUGUGUUGUACUGUGCUGUUUGACUUAGGGAAAACAACAACAAAAAGUUCCUAGCAUGCCCAUCGAAGUUCUCUGGGCCUCUGUCUGGGUUAUUCUUGCUAUCUUAUGUAGUAGGCAUUUUUUUUUUUUUUUUCUCUUUUCACAGACAAGGAAAAGGAGACUGGUAGGAUAAAUCCGUUUAGCUAGUAAAUGGCAAUACU